RNAcentral lists this long non-coding RNA (1973 nucleotides) under Mytilus galloprovincialis (Mediterranean mussel). The record is from RNAcentral. Lineage: Eukaryota; Metazoa; Mollusca; Bivalvia; Mytilida; Mytilidae.
UCCAUUGAAAAUAAUUUAUUUCUAAUCAAGACUGUAUAAAUAUAUUUUUACAUUUGAAAUCAGCACAAGUCUGUGUAAAAGAAAUGUAUUAUAUGAAAACACAUCUCAUCAAUGCAUGUUUAACCCUGCCGCAUUUUUGGGCCUGUCCCAAGUCAGGAGCCUCUGGCCUUUGUUAGUCUUGUAUUAUUUUUAAUUUUAGUUUCUUGUGUAUAAUUUGGAGUACGUUCAUUAUCACUGAACUAGUAUAUAUAUUUGUUUAGGGGCCAGCUGAAGGACUCCUCUGGGUGUGGAAAUUUCUCGCUACAUUGAAGACCUAUUGGUGACAUUCUGCUGUAGUUUGUUCUAUGGUUGGGUUGUUGUCUCUUUGACAAAUUCCCCAUUUCCAUUCUCAAUUCUUGUUUCACUUGAUACAGUUUCUUCCUGGCAUCCCCUAUAAAUAUUUUGAAAGUAAACUCGUGUAUGAGUUCAAUCAUAGUCCCCUUCAUUAAGGCCAUACAAAUUGUCUACAUUUAAAAAAGUUUUGAAAAUUAUCGAACUGAUCUAGCAAUACACAGAAUACUAUGUUAAAUAUCCCAGUGCAGCAAAAAUGAAAGGAUCAUACUUUCGUUGGUUAAUAUAAAAUACUUUUAAAAUACAUGUAAUAUUUAUUAAAAAGUUUAAAAUGCAAAAUAAAAGUUACAAAAGUUUAGAAAUAAAAUUUUAUAUGAAUUAUGAUUAUUGCUGGAAAAAAACAACAUUAAAUUUUAUUCAAUUUAAAACGUUGCAUAACAGUAGAAAUAUAUGAAUAAACAAAUAAAAAGAUUAUCAAUCCUUUAAAAAUCUGAUAUAAUAUUAUGGCAUCAUUACACAUUUUUAAAAUGCAAGUAAAAUUACAACUUUUGAGUUGUUUAAAAAUAUACAAAAAAGCUUACAUUUUACAUAUGGCCCAAACUAGUUUCAGUUCUCUUGGAACAUAGUAUAGAUAAUUCAACAAAACAAAACAAUAACAUAACUGAAAUAUAUAACAUUAUACAUUUGCACCAAAAAGCCAUUAAAAUAUUAUUAAAAGUAAUAUAUUUAACCCAUAUUAAAUCGUGGUUAAAAUGAAAUAUAAACUUUUAGUCAUGCAAUUGUUUUUACUUUAACUUUUUGGUAUUGGUUUAACACGUCAAACAAUAUUUUUUUAAAACUCCAGUCUUAUAAUAAUUAAGUUUGUGAAAUAAUCUUCAUACAAAUAAAUAAACUUCAUAAUUAUGCAUACACAAUUUAUGUCUGACAUUGCCUUUUUAUAUUAAACACAAAGCCUCUUUGUACAAAAAUAUGUCACAUUUGCAACUUUAUAUUUAACAAGUGUAUGAUGGUUAUCUUGUAUAAGUUAUAAAAACAGCAGUACUGAUUUAACAGGAUUUUCUUACAAACAUGCUUUUCAAGAACUAGAAAAAAUAAUUUAUCUGUUUUACAUGAAUAUUUCAAUAAUUUCUUAUCAAGGAUUUAAACAUGCCAAUUUAAAUUUAAAAUACACCGUUAUCCCUAUCUGUCUAUAAUUACUGACAUUCACAGAUGUUUCCAUAAAAAUUUGGAAGACAAAACAAUUAAUGCAAACAAAAAUGAUGUAAAUAGUUCAAAAUUUUUCAGAUUUCGAAAUAGCUAUAAGGUCUAUUCUUAAUAGUAAAACAUUAACAAAUGAUGUAAGAUUGAUACAUCUGAUUUCAUAUUGCACAAAUAAAGAUAAUGAUCUCUGUUCUGACACGUCAAAAUGUUAUUGUAAAUUUUCUAUAGAGAGCACUGGAAGAACUGUCUUUGUUGAAUCUAAUUUUUCAUUUCAAUUUUAAAUUAAAGGAGGCUCGCGGGUAUAAAAGUUUCUGAAAAAAAAUUAAACAUUUUUCUUUCAUUACAAAUUUUAUUUAUUACUUUAUUAUUUGUUACUUUAUCAUAUGGUACAAAAAUCACUCAAACAAAUUGAUUUGUUUUGGCCCCAGAUGACUUUUAAAAUG